This 1052-nucleotide ribosomal RNA is filed under the name Alcaligenes faecalis. RNAcentral describes it as "bacterial SSU rRNA". It matches the Rfam family "Bacterial small subunit ribosomal RNA", at positions 66 to 1102 of the family's 1533-position model. Lineage: Bacteria; Pseudomonadati; Pseudomonadota; Betaproteobacteria; Burkholderiales; Alcaligenaceae. The record is from RNAcentral.
GCAGCACGAGAGAGCUUGCUCUCUUGGUGGCGAGUGGCGGACGGGUGAGUAAUGUAUCGGAACGUGCCCAGUAGCGGGGGAUAACUACUCGAAAGAGUGGCUAAUACCGCAUACGCCCUACGGGGGAAAGGGGGGGAUCGCAAGACCUCUCACUAUUGGAGCGGCCGAUAUCGGAUUAGCUAGUUGGUAGGGUAAAGGCCUACCAAGGCGACGAUCCGUAGCUGGUUUGAGAGGACGACCAGCCACACUGGGACUGAGACACGGCCCAGACUCCUACGGGAGGCAGCAGUGGGGAAUUUUGGACAAUGGGGGAAACCCUGAUCCAGCCAUCCCGCGUGUAUGAUGAAGGCCUUCGGGUUGUAAAGUACUUUUGGCAGAGAAGAAAAGGCGCUUCCUAAUACGAGGCGCCGCUUACGGUAUCUGCAGAAUAAGCACCGGCUAACUACGUGCCAGCAGCCGCGGUAAUACGUAGGGUGCAAGCGUUAAUCGGAAUUACUGGGCGUAAAGCGUGUGUAGGCGGUUCGGAAAGAAAGAUGUGAAAUCCCAGGGCUCAACCUUGGAACUGCAUUUUUAACUCCCGAACUAGAGUAUGUCAGAGGGGGGUAGAAUUCCACGUGUAGCAGUGAAAUGCGUAGAGAUGUGGAGGAAUACCGAUGGCGAAGGCAGCCCCCUGGGAUAAUACUGACGCUCAGACACGAAAGCGUGGGGAGCAAACAGGAUUAGAUACCCUGGUAGUCCACGCCCUAAACGAUGUCAACUAGCUGUUGGGGCCGUUAGGCCUUAGUAGCGCAGCUAACGCGUGAAGUUGACCGCCUGGGGGAGUACGGUCGCAAGAUUAAAACUCAAAGGAAUUGACGGGGACCCGCACAAGCGGUGGAUGAUGUGGAUUAAUUCGAUGCAACGCGAAAAACCUUACCCUACCCUUUGACAUGUCUGGAAAGCCGAAAAGAUUUGGCCGUGCUCGCAAGAGAACCGGAACACAGGUGCUGCAUGGCUGUCGUCAGCUCGUGUCCGGGAGAUGUUGGGGUUAAGUCCCCCCAACGAAGGGCAAC